Molecule: ribosomal RNA, 492 nt
Filed under: Anaplasma platys
Lineage: Bacteria; Pseudomonadati; Pseudomonadota; Alphaproteobacteria; Rickettsiales; Anaplasmataceae
Also listed under: 1 other name
Description: bacterial SSU rRNA
Rfam family: Bacterial small subunit ribosomal RNA
Source: RNAcentral
AUGAUAAAAAUUAGUGGCAGACGGGUGAGUAAUGCAUAGGAAUCUACCUAGUAGUAUGGGAUAGCCACUAGAAAUGGUGGGUAAUACUGUAUAAUCCCUGCGGGGGAAAGAUUUAUCGCUAUUAGAUGAGCCUAUGUUAGAUUAGCUAGUUGGUAGGGUAAAGGCCUACCAAGGCAGUGAUCUAUAGCUGGUCUGAGAGGAUGAUCAGCCACACUGGAACUGAGAUACGGUCCAGACUCCUACGGGAGGCAGCAGUGGGGAAUAUUGGACAAUGGGCGCAAGCCUGAUCCAGCUAUGCCGCGUGAGUGAGGAAGGCCUUAGGGUUGUAAAACUCUUUCAGUGGGGAAGAUAAUGACGGUACCCACAGAAGAAGUCCCGGCAAACUCCGUGCCAGCAGCCGCGGUAAUACGGAGGGGGCAAGCGUUGUUCGGAAUUAUUGGGCGUAAAGGGCAUGUAGGCGGUUCGGUAAGUUAAAGGUGAAAUGCCAGGGCU